AAGGGACAGGUGAGUCAUCGAAUCUUUGAACGCAUCUUGCGCCCUUUGGUAUUCCGAAGGGCAUGCCUGUUUGAGUGUCAUGAAAACAUCAUCCCAUCGGGUUUCCGAUGACGAUGGAUUUGGGUGUUGCCGUCCGGCUCGCCUCAAAAGCCUUAGUGAUUCCGAGGUCGAAUCUGGCGUAAUAAGUUUCGCUGGCCAAGACUGAGAGGACCGCUCAUAACCCGUCUUCUGACAUUUUUUGCUCUGACCUCAAAUCAGGUAGGACUACCCGCUGAACUUAAGCAUAUCAAUAAGCGGAGG
RNAcentral lists this unclassified non-coding RNA (300 nucleotides) under uncultured Tremellaceae. RNAcentral describes it as "sequence contains 5.8S rRNA gene, ITS2". The stretch from base 1 to 80 matches the Rfam family "5.8S ribosomal RNA", at positions 75 to 154 of the family's 154-position model. The record is from RNAcentral. Lineage: Eukaryota; Fungi; Basidiomycota; Tremellomycetes; Tremellales; Tremellaceae.